This 497-nucleotide ribosomal RNA is filed under the name uncultured bacterium. RNAcentral describes it as "partial 16S ribosomal RNA". It matches the Rfam family "Bacterial small subunit ribosomal RNA", at positions 28 to 507 of the family's 1533-position model. The record is from RNAcentral.
GAUGAACACUGGCGGCGUGCCUAAUACAUGCAAGUCGAGCGAACGGACGAGAAGCUUGCUUUUCUGAUGUUAGCGGCGGACGGGUGAGUAACACGUGGAUAACCUACCUAUAAGACUGGGAUAACUUCGGGAAACCGGAGCUAAUACCGGAUAAUAUUUUGAACCGCAUGGUUCAAAAGUGAAAGACGGUCUUGCUGUCACUUAUAGAUGGAUCCGCGCUGCAUUAGCUAGUUGGUAAGGUAACGGCUUACCAAGGCGACGAUGCAUAGCCGACCUGAGAGGGUGAUCGGCCACACUGGAACUGAGACACGGUCCAGACUCCUACGGGAGGCAGCAGUAGGGAAUCUUCCGCAAUGGGCGAAAGCCUGACGGAGCAACGCCGCGUGAGUGAUGAAGGUCUUCGGAUCGUAAAACUCUGUUAUUAGGGAAGAACAUAUGUGUAAGUAACUGUGCACAUCUUGACGGUACCUAAUCAAAAAGCCACGGCUAACUACGUG